AUCUCUGGCAUAGCUCAGUUGGUUAGAGCGUGGUGCUGAUAAUGCCAAGACUGCAGGUUUGAUUCCCAUAUGGGAUG
Podarcis lilfordi (Lilford's wall lizard) is the source of this 77-nucleotide non-coding RNA. The record is from the annotation of a GenBank genome assembly. Lineage: Eukaryota; Metazoa; Chordata; Lepidosauria; Squamata; Lacertidae.